GCACGUAAUACAAGAAUUUACAUGCUAGCACUUUAAUUGUCAGAAGCUAGUUUCUAUUAGGCAGAUGGACUGUGAAUGAGUAACAGCAUUUCCCAUUAGUGGGGGGAAAAAGGAAAAUUAAGAUUUUGUCAAUGAAAAAUGAAAACUGAGCUUGCAAGCCUGAGGAAAAAAAGGCUUUUUGGGUGACUAGUAAGCACAGCUGAGGAGAAGGAAUUCAGCUGAAGCACAAAUUCCAUGUCUGAGAUGAGACACCCUACGUUGCUGUGG
Molecule: long non-coding RNA, 267 nt
Organism: Cuculus canorus (common cuckoo)
Lineage: Eukaryota; Metazoa; Chordata; Aves; Cuculiformes; Cuculidae
Exons: 3
Source: RefSeq, a predicted model, not a curated record